This is a long non-coding RNA of Leucoraja erinaceus (little skate), 1886 nucleotides long. RefSeq lists it as uncharacterized. Lineage: Eukaryota; Metazoa; Chordata; Chondrichthyes; Rajiformes; Rajidae. The record is from RefSeq and is a predicted model, not a curated record. The transcript has 4 exons.
UGGGAGAAUUCAAUGUUCUUGCCAUCCGGACGCAAGCAACCCAGGCGGAAUAUGAGGUGCUGUUCCUCCAAUUUCCGGUGUUGCUCACUCUGGCAAUGGAGGAGACCCAGGACAGAGAGGUCGGAUUGGGAAUGGGAGGGGGAGUUGAAGUGCUGAGCCACCGGGAGUUCAGGUAGGUUAUUGCGGACUGAGCAGAGGUGUUCGGCCCAACCUCCGCUUAGACUCACCGAUGUAAAUCAGCUGACAUCUAGAGCAGCGGAUGCAGUAGAUGAGGUUGGAGGAGAUACAGUGUGCUGGGUCCAGGAAAGAUCUUCGGUGCUCCCGGACUGAUUGUUAUUGAGGAAGACGUGUUUUUCUGCCAAUUCGGACUUCUGUGGUCUGUGGAAGUUGAGGAUCCAAUUGCAGAGGAAUGCGCAGAGACCCAGCUCCGUGAGCUUGUUGUCACUUCAUGCUUGCAUUAGUAUCCUGGCUGCAGAACUGAAGACAUUUGAGCCAGAACCAACUCUCGGCAAGCUGUUCAACAAUGUGGAAAAUUGCCCAGCUGUCUGCUCCAUGAAAAGCAGCUGAGUGGUAUCAAAAGGAACAUAUUAUUAAUCCACUGGCCCAAGCACAGUUUGCAUUUCAAAGAGCCUCUUAACUGCAGAUGUCAACAUGAGACCAAAGAGUUGAAUUCAUGGUCCUAUCAGCAAAUUCCACGAUGAAAGUGCUGGAAAUUGCCUCAGCUUCCUGUCAGUCUGUGAAGUACAGCAUUAGAGGGCAUUUGUGGAGAGGCAGAAGAGGAGAAGCGGGCAAAUUCAGUUUCCACAUCCGCUAAUAGAGGAAUCGAACCCGGGACGUGUGGAACGGCCAGCAUUUCUUGGUAAAUCUAGACCAGAUGUUCCUGUGGCCUGCAUUCUUUUUUUUUUAAAUCAGCACCAAGGUCCUUCACAGCUUUGUACCAUCCUAAGCAGUGCAGAUUAAUGCUUUGUGCAACAUCAUUUCUAAAUAUUGCGAAUUCUGCUAAAAACAGUUAUUAAAUAAGAAAUACAAAGUAAAAUAUAUUUCCAAUCUAAUUUUAAACUGGAUAACACUGAUGAUCUAAUCCUGAAGCUGAGCAAAUUAUUAAAAUAUUUACUAAUAUAAUCGCCAGUCUGCAUGUUGCAUUUUAAUUGCAAAUUAUAUUUUUAUUAAGAUUAAACUCACUUGAAUAUUUCCAGUUUUUCUUUAAUACUGCACAGAGUAAGGUGCAGUAUUAAUGCAGUAAGGUUAGUGUUCGGAUACUGCAUUGUCUUUUUUGAUUUUUUUUUAAAAUACAGUCAUUCAAAUACGUUAACACUGCAACAAUAUUUGUUGCAAAGGGAAAUGCCUUUGUGUCAUGUUACAACGUAGUAUUGAUGCUGUUAUCCAUCUCUCUGUUUCGCUUGACCCAGAGUGCUUUCCUGGGGAAAUAAUAGUUCACACAGUCACACUCUCUUGCAUUCCAAAUUUAACGUCAGUGCUGAGCAGUUUCCACUUAGGACUAAGCUAAACUUGCCAAAUAAAAAUUAACCUGCCAUGCUUUGGCCUGCCCAACCCCUGCAAUCAGUCGGAACACAGGUCCUGACCUGAAACAUCACUUAUCUAUGAUCUCCAGGGAUGUUGCUUGACCCGGUUACUUACUUCAGCAUUUUGUGUCUCCCAAAUAAAAUACAACCUGAUCUUAACUUGCAAACCUUAUAUUAUUGCUGUCCUUUUCUGGUCCCGACUAGAUAUUUCAAUUUAAAUGAGGGUUCACAUCUUAAAGGUAGAUUAUAAUAACUCAUAAAACAAUACUAAUAGUUUUUCAAUACAAUUCAGUUACGUAUAAAGCAAGUUUUCUUUGGAUUCAAAAAUAAACACAUGUACACAUUUUAAUCAACCUUCAUCUU